This 350-nucleotide ribosomal RNA is filed under the name uncultured bacterium. Its description in RNAcentral is "bacterial SSU rRNA". It matches the Rfam family "Bacterial small subunit ribosomal RNA", at positions 917 to 1269 of the family's 1533-position model. The record is from RNAcentral.
GGACCCGCACAAGUAGUGGAGCAUGUGGUUUAAUUCGAUGCAACGCGAAGAACCUUACCAGGGUUUGACAUCCUGCGAAUCUCUUGGAAACGAGAGAGUGCCUUCGGGAGCGCAGUGACAGGUGGUGCAUGGCUGUCGUCAGCUCGUGUCGUGAGAUGUUGGUUAAGUCCCGCAACGAGCGCAACCCACGUCUUUAGUUGCCAGCAUUUAGUUGGGCACUCUAGAGAGACCGCCGGUGAUAAACCGGAGGAAGGUGUGGAUGACGUCAAGUCAUCAUGCCCCUUACAUCCUGGGCUACACACGUACUACAAUGCUACGGACAAAGAGCAGCAAGUUCGCGAGGACAAGCA